This 483-nucleotide ribosomal RNA is filed under the name swine fecal bacterium FPC22B. RNAcentral's name for it is "bacterial SSU rRNA". It matches the Rfam family "Bacterial small subunit ribosomal RNA", at positions 7 to 505 of the family's 1533-position model. The record is from RNAcentral.
GAGAGUUUGAUCCUGGCUCAGGACGAACGCUGGCGGCGUGCCUAACACAUGCAAGUCGAGCGAGGAGAUUCCCUUCGGGGAUGAACCUAGCGGCGGACGGGUGAGUAACACGUGGGCAACCUGCCUUAUAGAGGGGAAUAGCCUUCCGAAAGGAAGAUUAAUACCGCAUAACAUUACAUUUUCGCAUGAAAAAGUAAUUAAAGGAGUAAUCCGCUAUAAGAUGGGCCCGCGGCGCAUUAGCUAGUUGGUGAGGUAACGGCUCACCAAGGCGACGAUGCGUAGCCGACCUGAGAGGGUGAUCGGCCACAUUGGGACUGAGACACGGCCCAGACUCCUACGGGAGGCAGCAGUGGGGAAUAUUGCACAAUGGGGGAAACCCUGAUGCAGCAACGCCGCGUGAGUGAUGAAGGUCUUCGGAUCGUAAAGCUCUGUCUUCAGGGACGAUAAUGACGGUACCUGAGGAGGAAGCCACGGCUAACUACG